This 74-nucleotide transfer RNA is filed under the name Burkholderiaceae bacterium. RNAcentral describes it as "tRNA-Cys". It matches the Rfam family "tRNA". Rfam says of the family: Transfer RNA (tRNA) molecules are approximately 80 nucleotides in length. Their secondary structure includes four short double-helical elements and three loops (D, anti-codon, and T loops). Further hydrogen bonds mediate the characteristic L-shaped molecular structure. tRNAs have two regions of fundamental functional importance: the anti-codon, which is responsible for specific mRNA codon recognition, and the 3' end, to which the tRNAs corresponding amino acid is attached (by aminoacyl-tRNA synthetases). tRNAs cope with the degeneracy of the genetic code in two manners: having more than one tRNA (with a specific anti-codon) for a particular amino acid; and 'wobble' base-pairing, i.e. permitting non-standard base-pairing at the 3rd anti-codon position. The record is from RNAcentral. Lineage: Bacteria; Pseudomonadati; Pseudomonadota; Betaproteobacteria; Burkholderiales; Burkholderiaceae.
GGCAGGGUAGCAAAGUGGUUAUGCAGCGGCCUGCAAAGCCGUUUACGUCGGUUCGAUUCCGUCCCCUGCCUCCA